CUCUGCACGUACAGAGAGAUCAUUGUCUAUGAGUCUAACUUUGUUUUGUUACCUGAAUUGAUAAAAAUCUUCGGUCACAUCUUCUUAGAUUAGCCGCAGACAGUAAUAUAAUACAUGUUUGAGUCUUACUACUGUUCAUGUCCUGAAUUUUACUACGUUGUAACUGGUUUAGUUAUUCAUCAGGAUAUUUGAAUUGACCUAGGAAAUAAACCUUGAAUCAUUUGCCAUCAGGUUGUCCUCGCACGAGGUGUCUUUUCCACGGGGGAAAAAAGGUCGCAUUUAAGUUGUGGAGAAUGGAUGCGGUUGGCAAAAUGAGAAAGUUCGAAGCUUUCUUGUGGCUGAGGUUUUCUGGUACCUGUGUGCAACUGCAUUGGCAAAUCUUCGUUUCCCUUGGUGGUUGUUUCGGUGGUGAUAAAAACAUCUUAAAAGUAAUCACUCUCUUAAUCAAUUGAGACGAGGAUUGCAGUGUUGAGUAAUUGAAUAGUCCUUGUGAAGUUGGAGGUUAAAUUUUACAUAGAGCAUUGACAGUAGAUACAAAAGGACGUCAAGUGUUGUAGGAACUCUUGGAAAGUGUAGAGCUUAUGAUCAGCUAACAAGGCCAAGGGCAUUGCCCUUCCUUCUUGUGAACUGUCACAAGAAAAUAGAAUUCUCUCAUUUGCAAUCCAAACCCUAUCUAAAACAAGAUAUAUAGAGAUUUGAUUGCUUCGCCAUGCAAGUUGAUUCUGAGAUUUGAAUCGAAAGUGUCUCAAAGGCACUGUUGAAGUGGGAGAUCAAGAGAGGGAUAGUUGCCUGUGUUUGUAUCAUCAAAUUGUUGGACAGAGGAUUCUUAUAAAAGCUUCAUCAUUGAAGCAAGUCUCUCUUUCAUGUGCUUAUAAACUGUGGGUUUGACUACU
Molecule: long non-coding RNA, 893 nt
Organism: Populus nigra (black poplar)
Lineage: Eukaryota; Viridiplantae; Streptophyta; Magnoliopsida; Malpighiales; Salicaceae
Exons: 2
Source: RefSeq, a predicted model, not a curated record